AAAUUGAAGAGUUUGAUCAUGGCUCAGAUUGAACGCUGGCGGCAGGCCUAACACAUGCAAGUCGAGCGGCAGCGGGAAAGUAGCUUGCUACUUUUGCCGGCGAGCGGCGGACGGGUGAGUAAUGCCUGGGGAUCUGCCCAGUCGAGGGGGAUAACAGUUGGAAACGACUGCUAAUACCGCAUACGCCCUACGGGGGAAAGGAGGGGACCUUCGGGCCUUUCGCGAUUGGAUGAACCCAGGUGGGAUUAGCUAGUUGGUGGGGUAAUGGCUCACCAAGGCGACGAUCCCUAGCUGGUCUGAGAGGAUGAUCAGCCACACUGGAACUGAGACACGGUCCAGACUCCUACGGGAGGCAGCAGUGGGGAAUAUUGCACAAUGGGGGGAAACCCUGAUGCAGCUAUGCCGCGUGUGUGAAGAAGGCCUUCGGGUUGUAAAGCACUUUCAGCGAGGAGGAAAGGUUGGCGCCUAAUACGUGUCAACUGUGACGUUACUCG
Molecule: ribosomal RNA, 494 nt
Filed under: Aeromonas salmonicida subsp. salmonicida
Lineage: Bacteria; Pseudomonadati; Pseudomonadota; Gammaproteobacteria; Aeromonadales; Aeromonadaceae
Description: bacterial SSU rRNA
Rfam family: Bacterial small subunit ribosomal RNA
Source: RNAcentral